CGGGGCGUAGCUCAGCCAGGUAGAGUGCCGGCUUUGGGAGCCGGUGGUCGCCGGUUCGAAUCCGGCCGCCCCGACCA
RNAcentral lists this transfer RNA (77 nucleotides) under Gemmatimonadota bacterium. RNAcentral's name for it is "Gemmatimonadetes bacterium (soil metagenome) tRNA-Pro". It matches the Rfam family "tRNA". From Rfam's summary of the family: Transfer RNA (tRNA) molecules are approximately 80 nucleotides in length. Their secondary structure includes four short double-helical elements and three loops (D, anti-codon, and T loops). Further hydrogen bonds mediate the characteristic L-shaped molecular structure. tRNAs have two regions of fundamental functional importance: the anti-codon, which is responsible for specific mRNA codon recognition, and the 3' end, to which the tRNAs corresponding amino acid is attached (by aminoacyl-tRNA synthetases). tRNAs cope with the degeneracy of the genetic code in two manners: having more than one tRNA (with a specific anti-codon) for a particular amino acid; and 'wobble' base-pairing, i.e. permitting non-standard base-pairing at the 3rd anti-codon position. The record is from RNAcentral. Lineage: Bacteria; Pseudomonadati; Gemmatimonadota.